Molecule: non-coding RNA, 94 nt
Organism: Mycena leptocephala
Lineage: Eukaryota; Fungi; Basidiomycota; Agaricomycetes; Agaricales; Mycenaceae
Source: the annotation of a GenBank genome assembly
GCCUCCGUAGUCUGGUGGUAAGACACCCUGCUGUUAUAGCUGUCAAAGGUUUUCCCUCAUCAGGGGUGUGAGGGUUCGAAUCCCUCCGGAGGCA